Long non-coding RNA from Rhincodon typus (whale shark), 588 nucleotides. RefSeq lists it as uncharacterized. Lineage: Eukaryota; Metazoa; Chordata; Chondrichthyes; Orectolobiformes; Rhincodontidae. The record is from RefSeq and is a predicted model, not a curated record. The transcript is spliced from 5 exons.
UCGGCCACCUGCUAUAUAAAGGCUCGGGAAGCGCUGUUCUGCCUUUUUACCGCUGGACUCAGGUUGAUUCAAGUUGUGUGGGUGUUAGUGGCGCUCCUUGGGCCUCCAGGCCUACCCUCACCUCAUCAUGUGGGCUCUAUUGAUGGCCGUCCGCAGUCUUUGUAUAGCUCGACCGCAAGUGGAUGGAUUGUGACUGCAGGCUGUCACCAUUAUAGCAUUAAAAUGAGAAAUCUCCGCUAGUCUCUGCCCCAGCUCUGAGUACAUCAAUCCCACAACUUUAUGCCAUUGAACAUGUCAAGUUGGGACGUUGAGUAAAGGUGUAAACAUUUUCAAGUGAAUGAGCUGGAGUCUGUAAUUGGAGCAUGAAAUCAGCGUAUAUACAUUUGAGAAUUCUGAGAUAACAAGAUGUGCAGCUGGAGGAACACAGCAGACCUAGCAGCAUUAGAGGAGCAGAAAAGCUGUUUUGGGUUUGGACCCUUCAGAAAAUGGAGGAUUAUCUGAAUUUGGAGCAGAUCUUCAUAGUGAAAGUUGGAAUUGAAGAUUUCUGUAAUGUAGUUUGAUUAUGGCUUAAUAAACAUUUUUCAUUCA